RNAcentral lists this long non-coding RNA (1849 nucleotides) under Paramuricea clavata. Lineage: Eukaryota; Metazoa; Cnidaria; Anthozoa; Malacalcyonacea; Plexauridae. The record is from RNAcentral.
AUUAAAGGUUGGUCUUACAUAAUGUAAAAUUAAAUAUUGCGGCCUGUAAAUUUUGGGGGUACUACAGGCCAACAAAUAAUCAACAUUUUCGACUUUCGGUAGUUUAGAUCAAAUAAGAACGUUCAUCGUUUACUGCAAACUCUACUUUCAAAGACCGAAAUUUUACUUAUUAUUUUGACCUAGAACAGUGAUAACAUUCGUUUGACCUUUGCUGUUGUCUAAAGUCUUACUGACACUGACACAGGCAUUUUCGUUAAGUAUGGGCCGUAUUGUAUAAAUAAUAAAAAUUUUCUAGCUGAAUAUAAACAAAUUAUAAAUUUGCAACAGGUAAAGAUGUCCGUUAGUUAACAAAUUAUCGAACAUCGAUUUACUUUGAAGAUUAUUUAAAAAGUCAAGAGAAAACGUACCCCAAUAUAAUUUAUACUAGUAUAACAAACUGCCGUAGGUGUAUUCGCGUCGCGAACUUGCGAAAAAGUUAGAGCUUAACUUUGAUUACCUUAUGUUUGACAUGGAGGCCUGGUUACCAAUCGCGUCUCAACGUCAGUGUUACAUGACCGUAAUUCGUAAUCAAAAUGACGCCAUGGUGCUAGCCAGUGCGCUGAGAGGCAUUCACCCCCUGAUAAUAUUCAAAAUGGUGGACCUCCAUAAGCGCACUGGGUAGGACCAUGGCGUCAGCAUUUUGAUGAUGAAUCAUGUGGCAGCUGCAAUGCAUUGCAGGUAAUCCACAACCAAAUUUGUUAAUUGUCUUGAAUAUAGUACUAAUAUAGUGAUGGGUUGUAGGAGGUAUUUGAGUAGUUCAAAUGAAAUAACUUGCAAUACUCUACCAAUAAAAAGUUAUACACCGUAAACCUCCGACUAUUAGCCCCCCUCCCCCCUGAAUAUAAGCCCCGCCCCCGAAUAUAAGACCACCAAAUAUAAGUCCCCCGAAUAUAAGCCCAGUAGCCCACUACGUUAUUCAACACUGACAUUGUCUUUUAAAGGGGCCCUACAGUCAUUUUUUAGUCGAAAAGCCACCUUAAGUAUUGUUUACAUUUUUGUUAUUGUCGCUACUGAACAUGCCCACCACGGCAUGCAUGCGCCUUCCGGUGUGCGGAAGUACUCAUACUCAUGGAUACUGCAUGUAAGAUACAGCCAAACUAAUCUCCGUAGAGUCCCCUACUUAAGGUGGCUUUAAUUUCGACUAAAAAAUGACUGUAGGGCAGAGAACGAUAUUUAAAAACAUUGUCAUUGUCUUUAUAGCCAACUAUGUUAAUCAAAGCACGUUAUUAAUACAUGUUUAUUUUCCUGUUUCUGACUGACUUGUGUUUGUCUGACUUGUUUAAUACUAACCCAAAAGAUCGUACAUGUAUUAGACCCCCCCCCGUAUAUAAGCCUCCCCCCUUGUAUAAGCCCAUCAAAAAUCGCUUACGAAAGUAUAUAAGCCCAGGGCUUAUAGUCAGAGGUUUAUGGUAUUUGGCUAGGUGAUAUUUGGUAGCUGAUGGGUUAUUACCCAUUCUAAUAAGAAGUAGGUUUAACUACUGACAUGUAAUUUUAAUAGAUUGUUUGGCCAAGUAAAACAGUGAAUGCAAUGUUUUAAAGUUAAUAUCUCAUUUAUUUCAAAUGUCAAUUGUCAAACACUCAAACCGUGUGGACAAACCAAAUAUUGCAAACAAACCAAAUACCGUAAACCUCCGAUUAUAAGCCCUGGGCUUAUAUAAGUUCGUAAGCGUUUGUUGAUGGGCUUAUACAUGGGGGGGAGGGGGUUAUAUACAGGUGCUCAUAUCAACAUAUUUAUAUUAUCGAGAAAAGGACGUCUGAUGCCUGAUAGAUCAUUGCUUCUCACACUAUAACUAUUAAAAUGUGCACCAAU